Molecule: ribosomal RNA, 253 nt
Filed under: uncultured prokaryote
Description: partial 16S ribosomal RNA
Rfam family: Bacterial small subunit ribosomal RNA
Source: RNAcentral
CCUUCUUCUCCCCUCUUUCUCCGGAAUUACUGGGCGUAAAGCGUGCGCAGGCGGUUGUGCAAGACAGAUGUGAAAUCCCCGGGCUUAACCUGGGAAUUGCAUUUGUGACUGCACGGCUAGAGUGUGUCAGAGGGGGGUAGAAUUCCACGUGUAGCAGUGAAAUGCGUAGAUAUGUGGAGGAAUACCGAUGGCGAAGGCAGCCCCCUGGGAUAACACUGACGCUCAUGCACGAAAGCGUGGGGAGCAAACAGGA